Molecule: ribosomal RNA, 497 nt
Filed under: uncultured bacterium
Lineage: Bacteria
Description: partial 16S ribosomal RNA
Rfam family: Bacterial small subunit ribosomal RNA
Source: RNAcentral
GAUGAACGCUGGCGGCGUGCCUAAUACAUGCAAGUCGAGCGAACAGACGAGGAGCUUGCUCCUCUGACGUUAGCGGCGGACGGGUGAGUAACACGUGGAUAACCUACCUAUAAGACUGGGAUAACUUCGGGAAACCGGAGCUAAUACCGGAUAAUAUAUUGAACCGCAUGGUUCAAUAGUUAAAGACGGUUUUGCUGUCACUUAUAGAUGGAUCCGCGCCGCAUUAGCUAGUUGGUAAGGUAACGGCUUACCAAGGCGACGAUGCGUAGCCGACCUGAGAGGGUGAUCGGCCACACUGGAACUGAGACACGGUCCAGACUCCUACGGGAGGAAGCAGUAGGGAAUCUUCCGCAAUGGGCGAAAGCAUGACGGAGCAACGCCGCGUGAGUGAUGAAGGUCUUCGGAUCGUAAAACUCUGUUAUUAGGGAAGAACAAAUGUGUAAGUAACUAUGCACGUCUUGACGGUACCUAAUCAGAAAGCCACGGCUAACUACGUG